Molecule: small nucleolar RNA, 215 nt
Rfam family: Fungal small nucleolar RNA U3
About the family: Small nucleolar RNAs (snoRNAs) are involved in the processing and modification of rRNA in the nucleolus. There are two main classes of snoRNAs: the box C/D class, and the box H/ACA class.
Source: Rfam
GCAGACUUCAUAGAAUCAUUUCUAUAGUAAACGUCCACAACUGUAUUCUUCAAAGAAGCUACAGACUCCAACCUGGCUGAUGAGUGCUAACCGCGGCGCCUAAGAGUGAUGCCGAUGUGGUGGUCUUUUCAGAUCGCUGGCGAUGAUCUCGCCCUGCUUGAGCGUCUGGCUUCGGCCGGCUCUUGCAGGUAGGUGCUGUCGGUCGUCUGACAGGU